This 375-nucleotide ribosomal RNA is filed under the name uncultured bacterium. RNAcentral describes it as "bacterial SSU rRNA". It matches the Rfam family "Bacterial small subunit ribosomal RNA", at positions 523 to 898 of the family's 1533-position model. The record is from RNAcentral.
ACACGUAGGGGGCAAGCGUUGUCCGGAAUUACUGGGCGUAAAGGGCGUGUAGGCGGCCAUGUAUGUCAGGUGUGAAAGGCCUCGGCUUAACCGAGGCAUUGCACAUGAAACUGUAUGGCUUGAGUGCAGGAGAGGGGAGUGGAAUUCCUAGUGUAGCGGUGAAAUGCGUAGAUAUUAGGAGGAACACCAGUGGCGAAGGCGACUUCCUGGACUGUAACUGACGCUGAGGCGCGAAAGCGUGGGUAGCAAACAGGAUUAGAUACCCUGGUAGUCCACGCCGUAAACGAUGGGUACUAGGUGUGGGUAGUUCACUCUAUCCGUGCCGCAGCAAACGCAUUAAGUACCCCGCCUGGGGAGUACGGCCGCAAGGUUAAA